Molecule: long non-coding RNA, 1493 nt
Organism: Felis catus (domestic cat)
Lineage: Eukaryota; Metazoa; Chordata; Mammalia; Carnivora; Felidae
Exons: 3
Source: RefSeq, a predicted model, not a curated record
AUUAAAAAAAAAAGAAAAUCAGAACCCCGGAGACUUAACAGGAAAAUGAAAACCCAACGUAUUAAGACGUUCUACUUUCCUCGGGUUGAUCCCUAUCUUUGCCUAAAGAUGUUACUUUAGUAAUCGUGGGGAGUCGUAUGUAGCUUAAACGAUGAACUCAGGACAAACAGCUUCUUUCACUCCGUUCACAAAGGUCUGUUCUUUGGUUUGUGGCUUCUGCUGCUAUUUUCAGAGCCUGUUGCAUCGAUGCGUUGCAGGCUUUUAUAUGCUUCUGAAUGUGUGCAGGUGUGCAGGUUGUGCAGGUUGAUUUGGGAACCUUGGUUAGGAGGUGGAAGGAGCAUUAAUGGUAAGUUUCACAGGUAAAAAAUACUGAAAUGGUGCACUAUGGCCCCCUCCCUUUAUUUCAGUGAAUUUCUAGGUUCAAGAUUGGACAUCGCCUCACCUGCAGUUCAUGGAACACAGUGCAUGACCAAGUUACCGAGCAAACAGCCACAGUUGGAUUCCAUGCUCCAGUGGGGGGACCCCGAGACACAGUAGCCAGUAUCCUCGACAAAGGCUCAAGCUUGGCAUCUUCACCCUGAGGCGAGCCCCCAAACUGCAUUCAUUCCUUCAUUCCCCACCUUCCUUUCUCUGAGUUUGGAUUUCUCCAUUGAAACUUAAAAUAUCCUCAGAAGGAGCCGUACCUUAAACCUUUAUCAGCAGUGGCAUGUUAGAGAAACCCCUCCAAGGGGGAGGAGAAAGCCCUGACAUACCUGCUGUGGGUAAGCCCCCCACCCCUUCCGCAGCCUUGCUUCCCAUUCCUCAACGUUCAUUGGGUGAGUAAGGCUGACGGUGGAGCUCAUCAUUUAGUGGGGAACUUUGGAUUCUCAACACUUAGCAGAGUAGCAAAGCGCCUGGCCCUUGGUUGGUGCACAAUGAACGGGGACUGACUAAACAGCUUCUUCCUGCCCUGCCCCCACGCCCCCCCCCAGACACCCACUGACACACAGUUUGUGUUUAACUUCAGAAGACCAUCGUGUACAGGGCUAUGGUUGCCAGUAUCAGCAGCUCAAGCUGGUUUAAAGGCGAAGACAGAAGCUGGAUUCCGUUGCUGACCAAAGGCUCUGAACCCUAAGCCUAGAAACACCAAGCAGAGUCACAGCUGUCGUGGAGCUCACGUAUGGUUCAUCCAUAAAGCAUGAAUCAGGAUCCAUGAAAGCAGACAUGCCCAGAACCCACGUAAGUCACAGUGUGAUCCCACUGUCAUCAGCCCAUCAGAUGCGGGGGCAGAGGUGAUAGAGGUAAAUGUGGGUGAACCCUUCCCUCCACCUUCCCUCUCUGUCCAACUCACACUGCCUUAAGGAAACACAUUUGCGGAAAGAAGUGUUUUGUAAAGUCUUUAGCAUUUAUAUAUGCAGGUAGGGCAGUCUAACUGGGAGAAAGUGUCUAUGGAUGAGGAGUGUGGCAUGGCAGCAUCCAGGGCAUUGAGGAACAAAAUCUAACCUUUUGCAUUC